Molecule: RNase P RNA, 358 nt
Filed under: Cocleimonas flava
Lineage: Bacteria; Pseudomonadati; Pseudomonadota; Gammaproteobacteria; Thiotrichales; Thiotrichaceae
Description: Bacterial RNase P class A
Rfam family: Bacterial RNase P class A
About the family: Ribonuclease P (RNase P) is a ubiquitous endoribonuclease, found in archaea, bacteria and eukarya as well as chloroplasts and mitochondria.
Source: Rfam by way of RNAcentral
UGAGUUGACCGAGCAAUCGCGCUUCAGGCUAGUCCUGAAUCGAGGAAAGUCCGGGCUCCAUAGGGUAGGACGCCAGAUAACGUCUGGGCAGCGCAAGCUGACGGCUAGUGCAGCAGAGAGAAGACCGCCUUAUUAUCUUCGGGUAGUGAGGUAAGGGUGAAAGGGUGCGGUAAGAGCGCACCGCACAACUGGUAACAGUUUGUGGCAAGGUAAACCCCGUCCGGAGCAAGAUCAAAUAGGGAUGCAAUAGGUGUGUACCCGCACUGCAUCCGGGUAGAUCGCUUGAGGUGUGCGGCGACGUAUCAUCCAGAUGAAUGAUUGUUCACGACAGAACCCGGCUUAUAGGUCAACUCACACU